Molecule: non-coding RNA, 29 nt
Filed under: Rattus norvegicus (Norway rat)
Lineage: Eukaryota; Metazoa; Chordata; Mammalia; Rodentia; Muridae
Source: RNAcentral
UCAAAAGAACAUGGGAGAAGUGGUCAGGC